GAUGAACGCUGGCGGCGUGCCUAAUACAUGCAAGUCGAGCGGACGGACGAGGAGCUUGCUUCUCUGAUGUUAGCGGCGGACGGGUGAGUAACACGUGGAUAACCUACCUAUAAGACUGGGAUCACUUCGGGAAACCGGAGCUAAUACCGGAUAAUAUUUUGAACCGCAUGGUUCAAAAGAGAAAGUCGGUCUUGCUGGCACUUAUCGCUGGAUCCGCGCUGCAUUAGCUGGUUGGUAAGGUAACGGCUUACCAAGGCAACGAUGCAUAGCCGACCUGAGUGGGUGGUCGGCCACACUGGAACUUGGACAGCGUCCUUACUCCUACGGUACGCCGCAGUAGCGUAUCUGCCGCAGUGGGCGGAAGCCUUACGGAGCGGCGCCGCGUGUGUUAUGGAGGUCUUCCGAGCGUAAUACUCUGUUUCUAGUGGUGAACAUAUUUGUAAGGAACUGAGCACAUCUUGACGGUACCUAGUAAGAAAGCCACGGCUAACUACGUG
This 497-nucleotide ribosomal RNA is filed under the name uncultured bacterium. RNAcentral's name for it is "partial 16S ribosomal RNA". It matches the Rfam family "Bacterial small subunit ribosomal RNA", at positions 28 to 507 of the family's 1533-position model. The record is from RNAcentral.